CCUACGGGAGGCAGCAGUGGGGAAUAUUGGGCAAUGGGCGCAAGCCUGACCCAGCAACGCCGCGUGAAGGAAGAAGGCUUUCGGGUUGUAAACUUCUUUUCUCAGGGACGAAGCAAGUGACGGUACCUGAGGAAUAAGCCACGGCUAACUACGUGCCAGCAGCCGCGGUAAUACGUAGGUGGCAAGCGUUAUCCGGAUUUACUGGGUGGAAAGGGCGUGUAGGCGGGAAAGCAAGUCAGAUGUGAAAACCAUGGGCUCAACCUGUGGCCUGCAUUUGAACCUGUUUUUCUUGAGUACUGGGGAGGCAGACGGAAUUCCUAGUGUAGCGGUGAAAUGCGUAGAUAUUAGGAGGAACACCAGUGGCGAAGGCGGUCUGCUGGACAGCAACUGACGCUGAGGCGCGAAAGCGUGGGGAGCAAACAGGAUUAGAUACCCCUGUAGUC
Molecule: ribosomal RNA, 443 nt
Filed under: uncultured bacterium
Lineage: Bacteria
Description: partial 16S ribosomal RNA
Rfam family: Bacterial small subunit ribosomal RNA
Source: RNAcentral